GAUGGAGGCCUUCGGGUUGUAAACCUCUUUUGUUUGGGAGCAAGCCUUCGGGUGAGUGUACCUUUCGAAUAAGCGCCGGCUAACUACGUGCCAGCAGCCGCGGUAAUACGUAGGGCGCACGCGUUAUCCGGAUUUAUUGGGCGUAAAGGGCUCGUAGGCGGCUCGUCGCGUCCGGUGUGAAAGUCCAUCGCUUAUCGGUGGAUCUGCGCCGGGUACGGGCGGGCUGGAGUGCGGUAGGGGAGACUGGAAUUCCCGGUGUAACGGUGGAAUGUGUAGAUAUCGGGAAGAACACCGAUGGCGAAGGC
This 305-nucleotide ribosomal RNA is filed under the name Bifidobacterium bifidum. Its description in RNAcentral is "bacterial SSU rRNA". It matches the Rfam family "Bacterial small subunit ribosomal RNA", at positions 407 to 722 of the family's 1533-position model. Lineage: Bacteria; Bacillati; Actinomycetota; Actinomycetes; Bifidobacteriales; Bifidobacteriaceae. The record is from RNAcentral.